GAGAUCACAGGAGCACAAAGGUGUUCAGGAAUGGCCACUCUGCAAGGCAAGGUUGUUGUGUAAUCAGAUCACACAGUUCUCUUACAUGGUCACUACAGGACUACUAUAUCAGACUGGGGGCAAACUGUCUUGCAGUGGAGCAUACUUCAGAGAGAGCUCUUUGCAUGGCUGUGGGAUUACACUGGAUUCUGGAAAGACUGAGGUGAAUGGCAAAUAGGAAAUGUGUACAUCCUCACAAGUAGGAGCCCACUGACUCUGGAAGAAAACACAAGGAGCCCGACAAGGCCUAGUCAGUUCAAACAGGUUUCUUACCUGUAUAACUCUUUCAAACAUGUGAGCCAGAGGCAGGAAGGAGAUGAGCACAUCGUCCUGUCUCGGAAAGAUCACUUUCUGCAGGUGAAGGGCAUGGGAGACAGAAAGGAAAGAAACACUGACAGGAAGACAACAAGAGAGUCAUAAAACAAUAAAAAGAAAAAUGGCACCAGAGGAGCAAAAGGGUAAAGAUUAUCAAGAAAGAGCGAGCGAGCGAGAGAGAGAGAGAGCGAGCAGCAUACGAAGCGAAGCGUUAGGCCACAACAUCAAUGAAACUAAGUUAGCAGGAGUAGUAAAGAGCGCAAGGAUGUACAUAGAGAGCA
Mauremys mutica (yellowpond turtle) is the source of this 635-nucleotide long non-coding RNA. RefSeq lists it as uncharacterized. The record is from RefSeq and is a predicted model, not a curated record. The transcript has 3 exons. NCBI's taxonomy places the organism in Eukaryota, Metazoa, Chordata, Testudines, Geoemydidae.